GUUUGUUUGUUGGUUUGUUCUACAUCACGUUGCAAUAGAGCAACGGAGCGACGUGAAUUUUUGCAUACAUAUAGUUAAAGACCUGGAGACUGCAAUGCUACUUUUUAUCCCGGAAAAACGAAGAGUUCCCACGGGAUUUCGAAAAACCUAAAUCCACGC
Long non-coding RNA from Maniola jurtina (meadow brown), 159 nucleotides. RefSeq lists it as uncharacterized. The transcript has 3 exons. The record is from RefSeq and is a predicted model, not a curated record. Lineage: Eukaryota; Metazoa; Arthropoda; Insecta; Lepidoptera; Nymphalidae.